GUGGGGAAUCUUGCGCAAUGGGCGAAAGCCUGACGCAGCCAUGCCGCGUGAAUGAUGAAGGUCUUAGGAUUGUAAAAUUCUUUCACCGGGGACGAUAAUGACGGUACCCGGAGAAGAAGCCCCGGCUAACUUCGUGCCAGCAGCCGCGGUAAUACGAAGGGGGCUAGCGUUGCUCGGAAUUACUGGGCGUAAAGGGCGCGUAGGCGGACAGUUUAGUCAGAGGUGAAAGCCCAGGGCUCAACCUUGGAAUUGCCUUUGAUACUGGCUGUCUUGAGUACGGGAGAGGUGAGUGGAACUCCGAGUGUAGAGGUGAAAUUCGUAGAUAUUCGGAAGAACACCAGUGGCGAAGGCGACUCACUGGCCCGUUACUGACGCUGAGGCGCGAAAGCGUGGGGAGCAAACAGGAUUGGAUACCCGUGUAGUCC
Molecule: ribosomal RNA, 425 nt
Filed under: uncultured bacterium
Lineage: Bacteria
Description: partial 16S ribosomal RNA
Rfam family: Bacterial small subunit ribosomal RNA
Source: RNAcentral